Long non-coding RNA from Orcinus orca (killer whale), 11217 nucleotides. RefSeq lists it as uncharacterized. The record is from RefSeq and is a predicted model, not a curated record. Lineage: Eukaryota; Metazoa; Chordata; Mammalia; Artiodactyla; Delphinidae. The transcript has 4 exons.
ACAGCUCUAGUUGCUGGAAAGUUCAAGAUCAAGGUCCAGCAGGAUUCAGUUUCUGGAGAGCUGAAGUUGCAGGGCAAGCAAAUGCUCUGAGUUCCAAAGAGUGACAAGCUCUGUGAGGAGAAACAGUACACACAAAUUUUCACCUUUGGCAAGACAUGAGAGGAUGAGAUGGUCACCGUAGAAGUGGGUAGAAUCCAAAGAUAGUCUGAGAGCAAUCAAAGGUUGUGGUGAGGAACAUGGAUGUUGAAAUGGUGGAAACAUGGGUAUGACAGCCGAUUCUGCCCCUCACUAGCUCUGUAAUUUGCGUCCAGACUUUUCCCCAGACUCCCUCCCAGCUAGCUGUGGUGCACUAGCCCCCUUCAGUCUGUGUUCACACCGCCAGUCCCCUCUCUGGGAUCCAACCGAAGCCGAAGCCUCAGCUCCCAGCCCCCGCCCAUCCCAGCGGACGAGCAGACAAGCCUCUCGGGCUGGUGAGUGCUGGUCAGCACCAAUCUUCUGUGUGGGAAUCUCUCCGCUUUGCCCUCUGCACCCCUGUUGCUGCACUCUCCUCCAUGGCUCUGAAGCUUCGCCCCCACCACCCACCCAUUUCCACCAGUGAAGGGGCUCCCUAGUGUGUGGAAACUUUUCCUCCUUCACAGCUCCCUCCCAGAGGUGCAGGUCCCAUCCAUAUUCUUUUGUCUCUGUUUCUUCUUUUUUCUUUUGCCCUACCCAGGUAAGUGGGGAGUAUCUUGCCUUUUGGGAAGUGUGAGGUCUUCUGCCAGCAUUCAGUAGGUGUUCUGUAGGAGUUGUUCCACAUGUAGAUGUAUUUCUGAUGUAUUUGCUGGGAGGAGGGUGAUCUCCAUGUCUUAUUCCUCUGCCAUCUUGAAGUUCUCCCCGGUCCUGAUAUUUUUGAGAGUAACGGUCACUAGUUUUUUUAAUUCAUAAGUUAUAGAUUGUUUAAUGUUCUUGUAAUCUGUCUCAAAGAAAGAUAUAGAGAUGAUUCUUUUUAUAAAUAAUUAUUUGCUUCUGUUAAGUACAAUUAAGGAUCAUAGAGUUAAAGGCAGGCAAAUUGGUGAAACAUCAUUCAAAACUCACUCAUAUUUGCAAGUUACACUGAAAUAUUUAAAGGCUUUCUCUUAGUAUCUUCCAGAUAACUAAAAAUUAUUUUUCUUAUGCCAUACUCAGACUUUCAUACUUAUAUUGAAAUGUCAGCAAUCCUAAUCAUGAGAAAUUUAAAUGGAACUUUCAAACAAAAAGAGAGCUUAGAAAUCCAAUUGAACACAUUUAAAUGAAUAAAUGGAGGUGCAAAAGGCCAAAGACUUGUCAAGAUCACACAUAGUUAGUGGAAGAUAUCUGAUUCAAACAUAAGUCACUAAAAUCCUAGCAUUGUUCUUUCUCGCCAAGCUUCCUAUUGAACAAUGAAGUGUCUCUUAACCUUAGAAUAUAUUUCACACACAAGAAAGCAUGAAGACAUAAGGAGGAAGACAACUCCAAUGGAAACUCCUAGCUAUUAAAGCACUGGUUUAUGAAUUUCGCUAGGAUGAAAAUACUCAACACAAGUAAGAAAUAUAUAGUCGUAAAAUCACAGAUAUUUCUAACUCUAAAUAAAAUACGUUUUAAAGAAUCUUAAAUCCUGUUUCUUAAUAUUUAACAGACUCUUUUCAAAGUUAACUAAACUUAAAAUUAGAUAGGUCAGCAUUCUAUUUCUUUGCAUGCCUCUCUCCUUUUGAAAUACAAAUUAUAAAAAUCUUUCCCAUGACCUGAAAUACAACUCAAAUGUUGUCUUGUGUUAAAUAUAACUCCAUAAUUAUGCACUAUCUAUAGUGCUCAUGUGUUGUACAGUAUGUAUUUUUUUUCAAGUCAACAAUUCUCCAUUGAAAGGAAAAUAUCUCUUAUUCUGGGGCUUGUACUGAGGAAAAAGCAUUUUAGAAAAAUUAUUUUUCCCCACAAUAGUUCCACAAUUUUGCCUGACUACUAUUUUGGCUUAAACUUGGAACCACAAGAUUAAAGUCUAAUGUUUAUAGUCUUUUCAUUUUAUUUCUCUGGACUGCCUAUAAUCCCUUCUAAUCAUUUCAGCUAUGGCAAUUUUACCUACUGCGAUAAUGCCUGCUCCAACAUACAGGUUUUAUGUGUGUAGCUAUGUUAUUCCACUGGUUUGGCAUGUUUGUGUCACAUUAUCAAGUCUGAGUUUUCUCAGUGGGCCUUCUUUGAGCUUUGUAGUCAUUAUUUUGAAGUACUGCUUCUUGCUGAAAUGUUGGUUCUGUCCGAACAGUCCACUGUAAUCUUGUUCUAUGCAUUAUUAUUCUUCUUUAUCAGACAAAAAUUUUAAAUAUGAAUGAAACAAGCCCCCAUUUGCCUUUGCCUUUCAACUUUAUGUCUAAGAGAAAGUAUAAACAUAGUUCUGUACUAUUAAGUAAUAUUUAUUAUAAAGCCAUACUUUUUAAUAUAAAGAUAUACUAGACAAGACCUAUCAAAUAAGUAAAAGCAUAUUAGAUAUUUCUAAAUCAAAAAUAGGGUAAAAGCUCUUCUAGAAGAAUAUUUAUCAAACCAAGAAACUCAACAAAGUACCUCAGAUUCAACGUAGCACAUAAAAGUAAAAAAUUAAACUGUGAGCAGAAAAACCAUGGAAGCAUCUAAGCUUCAUGUUUCAAUAAAGACCUUGAGAUUUAAAAUACUAAUACAUUUAAAAUACUAAUAGCAACUGCUAUUCAAGAUUGGCUUAUAAAUUCAAAAAAACAUAUUUCACAAGCUACCAGAGCCUAUUACUUCAUUUUGCAAAAUUCAUACAUGAACUGCCACACUUGUAACUUCAGAGAAAUUGUAGAAUGAUUCUGAAGAAAGAGACAGGACUGUCUGAAAAUGGACUAGUGAGGAUUUUCCAGGUUGCUACUCUUUCACUCUUCUCAUGGGAUUCAAAGUGGCUACUGCCCUGACUGAUAUUAAUGUGUCAUUUUCAAGUGCCAUUGUGGCCCACUGCAUCUGCUAUCUUUCCAGGUAAUAGAAUUCUGGAAACCUAGUUCGAUGAGCAUUAGGAAGGCAUGGGAUUAGACUAAAAUACUGAAUGCCUCAGGGACACAUGCUAGGCAGGAAGCUCAAAAUCCAGGAGCUUUAAAGAAGACUAUUUUGGAGUAUCACACAGGUUCAAAAUGUUUUUGAAGUUCCUGACCAGAAGACCCUGGUCAAAUUAUGGGAAAUUAAACAUUGUCAAGAUGAUAAUUGCAAUAAUUUAAAUCUGUAAAAUAGCCUUGAAUGCAAUUAUUAAUAGAAUGACAAUGAAAUAAACGUUUCUCGUAUUCUGUAGAAACCAACCAUCAUCAAAUGAAGAAAUAUAUUCAUAUAAUGCUAAAUGAUCAAUAAUAACUAUGCGGUAGUUUCUCUUAAUCUGCCUCAACUCUUCUGAAUUUGUAUAAAAGAACAUUUCAAAAUCAAAAGUUUUCUUUAAAAUUUUUGUUUUAUAUUGUAGUAUAUAGUUGAUUAACAAACAAUGUUGUAUUAGUUUCAGGUGUACAGGAGAUUAUCAAAGUUAUUUUUAAUGACUGAGCAGCUAAUUAAGCAUUAACAAAGGCCAUUGCCAUUUACAUGACAAAAUCCAGAAGUCCUUCAGGACUAAUUAGGUGACAUCAACCCUCAAUUCUCCCUAAUGAGGCCUUUGUAAGUCUUAGAACUAUUUAACUUUUUAAACUUGAAAGCUAUAUAGAUCUGUCAGAGUUUGUCCUUUUAAAUUGAAAUAAUAUUUUAUAUUUUGCCUUUAAAGUGUUAAGAAAAGUCUCUGACGUUAAAAACUCAGUGUCAGUGUAAGUUAAUAAGGAACUUUAUGAAAGCCGCUAAAGCAGUUCUCCAACUCAUAGAAGAUAAGAAUAGCCUACAAAGAUUCAAGGGAAUGUUUCAAUAAUUAAUUCUUUUAUUUGGUACCUUUUUAAUUAUUUAACUCCAAAAAUCCAAGUCUAUUUCUAGACCCCAUUCAUUCAACUACAUGUUUUUCAUCCUGUUUUUACAAAGUGACUCAACCUCUAUUUAUUUUUUUAAAUGAUUAUAACAUACGUGGAAAUGUGGUCACCUGUGAUUCAUCCUGUGCCUGUAUGGCACUGACCAUGUGGAAGUGAAUCAGAGGUUGGACUCUAUUCUCAUCAUGACUGAUCAACUUGGUAGUAUGUUCAUUUUCACGCUGAAACAAGCAAUGUGAAAUCAGAGAACAAUGUUAAGGAAUAAACAUUUGUUUUGAAUCCCUUAAUCAGAAAAAGCUAAAAUUUCAUAAUAACAAGUAUGAAUGUUUCACUUUAAGAGCUAAAGCCACAUCUACAUAUGGGAUUUGUUGUGAAAGACUUUCAAUUUUCUCUCUGAAUGCAUUUGUGUGGACAAGACAAAACAUUAGGUCAUCUCUGAAGAGAAGUAAUUGAAAAGGUUCUAUGCUCAGGCCCAUGUUACCAAAGGCAACUAAAUCUUGAAUGCUUUGAAUUUGUUAUGACCAAUGUAUAGAUUAUAAUGCUAUACAUUGACUGGGCAACAUUUAAUAUUUUAAAUUUUGAGAAACUGACCUUUCAUAUACUUUUUCUCUUCAUUCCCCCUCAUGAAAAUCAUAGUUAUCAUUAAGAAUUAACCAAGUUAUAAUUUUAAGAAAUUUUAAAAAUACUUAUAGAUACUAUUCUCAGAUGCAUACUUUAGAAAGGAAAAUUACUUCUUUAAACCAAGAUUUCAAGCUUUAAAAAGUCACAGAAGUUUAUCAUGUACCUUAUUUUUGCAAUAUCUCCACCUGAAAAGUGAAGAUAUAUAUAUACUCAUUGUGUCCAAAUCAAUUAAAACUGGUUUUAGUUUUUUAAACAUAAUUAUUUAGCAUUUGAAGUUGCUAAAGAUUAUGUACAAUGGAUAUUUUUUAAUCUCAUAUAGUUUGUGAUCUUUAGUCUUGUGUGCUAAAAUAUCCAAUUGUUACCAGUUGCCUUUUGUACACUAAGAUUGCAUAAAGUGUCUCAUUUGAUUUAAAUUACAGAAAAUGUUUUCAACAUCUAUGUUUUCUGUGUCUCCUUUUUACAAUGUUUUCAACAUCUAUGUUUUCUGUGCCUCCCUUUUACAAUACUAACCUGAAUAAAUGCUAUGCCCCUUUCCUUAGAGGAGAAUAUGAUUUGGUAUCUAAAAGAAAAUUCAAUACAGGCUAGCAUACAAUCAACUUUUAUUUCCUAAGUAAAAAUUUAGUAAAAAAUCAGUAUUAAAGGUUUUUCUUUUGAAACCCUAAAGGCAAUAAUGGCAUCAAUGUAGGUAUAAGGUAGUACUGGUUUAUUUUCAUAUUUAGGUGCUAAAUGGUAAAAUUUGGAGGGGAAAUACCAAAGAGAAGCAGCUAGGAAUGGUCCUGCUUUGUGAUUUGGCUUGCAUGGUGCAAGGCCCCCAUAAGCACAGGAAGACAAUAUAGCUAGCACUAUAAAAUACAGAGAGGAAAACUUAAACACUGGACAGUAGUUGAUAAAUCUAGUAAAUACUAACAUCACUAUUAACAUAGUAGCAAUCCAUACUCACUUCUCCCCAACUUUCACCACACUUCCAGGUCAGAAGAACAAAUAGAACUUGUCUGUGUCUUCAGAGUGAAUAGUGAGCUACAACUGUCUCAACAAGUUUGAAGCAGUGUAAAUUAUCAGGACCCAAAAGAGAAUAAGAAAAUAAGAACUUGAUUUUGAUUUUUAAAAAGGAAAAAUGUAUAAAAUAAAGCACAGGCAAGACUCAGGAAGCAGUUCAGAGGCAGAACUUUCUGAGACGCCCUAAAGCAAUGGGACACAGCAAGAGGGAUCCUUUAUACUAUGCCCAUGGCUGAGAGCCUGGAUGGGAGAAUGUGUUAGGAUGCUGACUAAAAAAAAUUUCCCAAUAGUUUUUCCAUGUAAACAUGUACCUGCAGGAGUUUUACUUAAAUCUUCUCUUUAAAGAGUAAUAAGAUGGAAGCAGCCCUACCUUAUGUUAAAACAUACUAUAAAGGUACUAUAAUUAAAAGAGUUUGGUGUUGCUAUAAGGACAGAAAUAAUCAAUAAAACAGAAGAAAUACUAUGAAUACUUAAUAUUAAUUUUAAUAAUAUAUUACAUAAUAUAAGGAGGUCAAAUGAACAAGGAAAGAAAAUCACUUUCAAUAAAUGGCUCUGAGACAAUUAGCUAUUUUGGCUACAAAUCACUUUAGAUCAUGUUUUCAUAUAAACCAAAAUAAAUUUCAAGUGAUAAAAACUAUGUUAAGAUAAAAUGCUAGAAUAAAAUAGUGACUUUUUACUAGCCCCUGAAUAAGAAGGACACUCUAAAUUUAAAUUAGUGAGAUAAAUCAUAAAGGAGUAAUAUAUUUGACUUCACAGAAAGGUCAAAUUUCGGUGCACAAAAAAUAGCAAAAACAAAUGUAAAGUGAAUUAAUUCUUUGAAGGGAUUGAUGUAUUGUCAUCCAACACAGAGCAGAUUAAGGAUUCUUCCAAAAAUGACAGUUUCACCUUUUUCAUGUCACCAAACCUUGCUCUCAGCUGCUGGGACAUAAGAGUUCUAGUUCCCUAUUUAUAACUUCCAACUUCUUCUGCUGCUAGAGAAUGUACAAAUAAAAAUAGUAAUGUAGAGAUAAAACUCGAUUAGGUACUAGCAUAAUAUAACAUUUUUAGGAAAAUAUUGUAUAAGCUACUUUUUUAGCUUAUACAGUCAAUUUUCACCAGAUACUGUCUAUUACAAUACAAAUUAUGCAACUGUUGUAACAGUUCACAUCCUCAAGUCAGGAGCCUUGGAAUUCCCAGCAGAAAUCAUUUUAGUUUUCAUUUCUCUUCCUUGGGGAAGAACACCUUUUGUAUUCUCUAUUUUGUAUAUAUAUUUUUUGUUUAUAUAUAUUUGUGUAUAUUUUGUGUAUAUAUAUGUUCAUAAAUAUAUAUGAUAGAGAACUUUUUUUUGAAGAUUUUCUUUUGAUGUGAACCACUUUUUAAAGUCUUUAUUGAAUUUGUUACAACAUAGCUUCUGUUUUAUGUUUUGGUUUUUUGGCUGCCAGGCAUGUGGGAUCUUAGCUCCCUGACCAGGGAUUGAACCUGUACCCCCUGCAUUGGAAGAUGAAAUCUUAACCACUGGACCACCAGGGAAGUCCCUGAAAGGGAAUUUUUUCAUUUAAGGGAAAAAUUCUUUCUUUAACUAUAUAAGGAUUUUAUAAUUAGGGAAAAAUUGUUCUUCUUGCAUACAAUUUUGUCACAUGAAAUCAAAUUAAGGGUGUCCACCUGACAUUGUUUUAUAAAGCCAUGCAAAUUUAAAACAUGUUAGAUCGAAGAUAAUCAAAGCACUCUUCAUAAUAAAUGAUGCUUUGCUUUUACUUUUACCUGGAUUUCAAGUCCAGAGUGUAAAUUAGACUUCAGGUUUAUGAAACAGCUUGAUUAGCAACCAUUCUAGGAAUUCAUGAAUCUAUAAUAAGAAUAAUCACUAAUCAAGUAUGCAACUAUGUGGCAGGCACAGUGCUUAAGAGUUAACUGAACUUUAAUCUUUACCGUAAUCACAUGAAUUAAGGACUUUCAUUAUUAGCAUUAUAGGGAAAAAUAUCUAAAUAAAGAUAUAAAUUUAUAGAUUUAGUCUAAAUAUUGGGAUCAAAUUUUGGAGGACACUUAAAAACCAUUCAGUUGCAGGAAAAUUAUCCAUCAUUUGGGUUUUUGUGAUUAUUGUUUUAUUCAAUUACUAGAAAAUUUUCUACGAAUAUAUGAUGUUUAGUUAUUAAUUAUUACUCUUUCACUCAUAGAACUUUGAUUUUAAGUGAAGAAAUUCCAUAUGCAAUUUCCUUUCUAGCAUACCACAGUAUCUCACAUAACUUCAUGUAGGUAAAAACAGCAGGAUAUUAGCCCUUUAGAAAUAAAGAUUUGUUUUCAUUUAGGAAAACAAAGUUCUCCUUUUAAUAAAAAGCCCCCCCAAAAGUGAUCCCUAAACAGAAAAAAAUUAUUUUAGAAAUUAUUGUGUAUCUGCAGAAUUAUUUCCCCUACAUAUCUAUCAUCUGAUGCCAGCAUAUUUUUCAGCAGUUACCACCUGUUAGAAUUCAUGUUUUUGGAUGAGUGAUCAAUUAAUUUUUAUCAUGUUGAUUUUCCCCAGCAAGCUAUAGGUUCACCUCAGCUGCAAAAAUUUUCUAAACUGAGCAAAGCCUCCAUAGGAGAAGUCAGGAUAUAAUCUUUCAAACACAGUGUAACUCUGUAGGAGUCUAUUCAGGAAUUUGAGAAAGAACUGUGAGAGAGUAAGUUUGUAGCAUUUACGCUGUUUGCAAACCUGACCUUAAAAAGUGAUUAAAGUCCACAUAUAAAUGACUAUACUUAACUCUUGUAUAGCACUUCUGAUUUACUAAGUUUAGUUAAUUUGCCAAAAUUUAUCCUAGGCUAAAUACAUAUUACUAGCUAUCCUACAAAAGAAAUUAAGUCAGAAGCUUGGAACGAGUUGUUCAAGGGGCACCCUACGUGAGUGCCAAGUUGGUUAUACAGCUUUUAUAGUCUCCUAACCAAAAGUCAAUAAUACUGAGGGUAUCCCUAUAGUCAAAUAUUGAUAACACAUAGAUUUCCCCCAAUAGAUUGGAUUUAUUCCGUGUCUUCUUUCCAAAAGGGAUUGAAGUUGAAUGUUUAAGAGUUUGAACAGACAAUUUGACAUAUGUUUGCAUAACUAUGAUUCCCUCAGAGAAGUCUGAUGAAAAUAAAACCAAAUUUUUGUUAGAUUCUGCAAAGACUUAACCAGUUGCUCCCUAAACUACCAGAAAAUACAAAUCAAAGUGGAACUUGUAUUCCACACAUGACUCAAAGGGUCAUGUCACAUCAGAACUCCAUUGCUCUCCAUUCAUAACAAUCAUGCUACAAAGUAAGUAAAAAUUCUAUCUCCCUCUUACAUAUGUCUUUCAUUUUUCCUCAGCCAAAGGCCCCUCAUUUAUUCCAUUAAUCUAACAUAAAAGCAUUUCCUGCAUUGCAAAAUGAAACUUCAUUACACAAAUGGGUUUACAUUCAGUGGCAGAGAGCUUAUCCUCUAGUUUCCUUUCUGUUAUCCUUCCUUUUAGUAACACUCUUCUCCUCCUCAAGAUAUGAUCACCCAACUAGAGUUCCCAGCAUUCCUUGCAGCCUCAUGUGACCAUGUGAUUUGCCUCUUGCUAAUGGUAAUUAAGCAAGAGUAAUGUGGGCAACUUCAGCCUUCUAUCUUUAAAAGGGAAAAAUCACUUGCCCUCUAUUUCUCUUUCCACAUCUCACAGUAGAUAAAGCAAACAGUGGUGAGCCAGUGUCCACCAAGCAAUUGAAGACAACUUUAGGGAAUAGCAGAGCAACAAUAUAGAAAGAACCCGGGUUCCUAAAUGACUCAGCAGCCUCCCUCUAGUUAGUUACAUUAAACAUCUACUUUGUUUGAGCCACUGUGUUUUAGGAUUUCCUUGUCACAGCCUCUUAUCUGUAUACCCAAAUACAAUUAUUCAAAUUAGAACUCCUUUCAUCUCAUUUCUACUGUUGACACUUUUGUCUGUGUUGAAACAUUGCUGCUGGUGAUAGUUUCACCCAAGUAUGUAGCAAAAGACUAUUAUGGGGUCAGUAUCACCUCUUUUUGGACAAACAUGCUUAUUUUGUACUAUAUACCUGAGCCACUGGGUUUAUACAAACUUGGGGCAUCCAGGCUGCUACCCUUUAGCCCCAUGAUAUUUGUUUUUAAUCAUUUUAUUAUAACAUCAAUGCUGUUUGAAAUUUUUCUUCACUGUGUUCUUGUAAUGAAUCUUAUUUCUGCCUUUUUUAUUAUCAUCAUAGAACAUUUAUUUGUGUGUCUAUUUAUAAUCCAUAAUCUGCAUAUGUAUGACCAAGGACAAUCUGACAAUAGUAUUUAUUUCACUGAUAAUCACCAAAUUUCCUGAUAGAUCCUCCCAAGCUCUCCCAUUGGACUAAUGCUGGAUAUACAAGACCUACAGCAGCAGUGUUACUGCAGGUGUUAGUCCAAGUUACUGUGGCCCCAGUAUACACAUAUUCAUGAUGCAAGCUUUGUUGGUAAUGUUCUACAACGUGGAUUUACUACAAGCAAAAAGAUAGUUAUUCUCUUUAAUCCUUUUUUUUAAGGCAAAUGUUAAAAUCUCAAUGAAAUGAUGCACAACUGUAUUGAAAAAGACUUACAUAGUAUCUGUUAUUUUUCAUCUUUCUUACAGCUAGAAAAACAAAUGCCUAAUGCCUUUCCUUUCAUUUUUGGGCUCACAAAUUAGAGUAUUUUCAAAGAGAAAAGAACCUUAAGAACUUCUUUUCUAGGAGUUUUUAAACUGUGUUCCUGGCACCCUAGGACUCCAGAGCAGUAUCUUAAGGUAUGCCUAAAGAGCGGUUGGUGGAGGAGGCUGAGUGGUAGGGACCAGAGGCUCCCACCCUGCUUCAGAUCAGUUUUCUUUAAUCUUUAAGAUGUUAGGGUUCUGUUUGAGAUUUCAUUUUUUAAAUGUGUUUUCUAAUAUUUGAAAAGUGCUAAUCUAGUCCAAACCAAAUGAGGGAACUAAGAGCUCAAGAGAAUAAGAUUUACUCAUGAAGUAAGAGCAGAUUUGUGGUGAAGUUAAGAUGGGAUCCUAGUCUUUUGACAUCUUGUCCAGAAUUUUUAUACCAAAGCUACAGAGAUGAUUUAAUAAAAUGUGGGCGUUCAACCACACACAGUUAAAGUGACAUAGCUAUUCUGGUAUUCAUGUGACUUAUAGGAGUUUCAACAAUAACUUCAAAUUUCCCUGUAUUUUUCAUCUGGCUUUUAGUUCAGAAUAGUGCUAAAUGUUUUGAUUUCUGUAUCCAGCAAUUAAGAUUAGUAUUAAUAUUUUUCUACUUUAGAAAAAGCAACAUUUUUAAUUUAAAAAAUUAUGACUGCUCUAAAAAUUUUUUUUUAAAGAAGGAAAUUAUGACAUAGCAGAAUGCACAGGACUCUAAUAGGAAACAUGAUUCUAAAUACUGCUCUGCCAUCAAAGAAACAGCUUUGUGCCCUUUCUUUGCCAAUCAUGUCAUCUUGACAGACCUCAAAUUUCUUAGUUUUUAAUGUGAUUAGUCUAUACAGCUUAUAAGGUUUCUUCCAGAUCUAAAAAUCUAGAACUCUCUUUUCUAGGUUAAUCCUGUCCAUCUGCAGAUCAAGCAAUAAAGUGUAUAAUUAUUCAGUGUAUAUCUCUGUGCAUAAUGUAUGUAUGUAUGUUUUAGCAUAUGCCUACAAAUCAAGGAAUCUUCAAGCUUUUAAUUUUAUGGCUCUAUUUUAUGGGUUUUUUCCAUUUUUAAAAAUAUACUGUUAUUUGCAUUCAAUAAAUUCACCCUUUUAAGUGUA